ACAUGCAGUCGAGCGAACAGAUGAGAAGCUUGCUUCUCUGAUGUUAGCGGCGGACGGGUGAGUAACACGUGGGUAACCUACCUAUAAGACUGGGAUAACUCCGGGAAACCGGGGCUAAUACCUGAUAAUAUUUUGAACCGCAUGGUUCGAUAGUGAAAGACGGCUUCGGCUGUCACUUAUAGAUGGACCCGCGCCGUAUUAGCUAGUUGGUAAGGUAAUGGCUUACCAAGGCAACGAUACGUAGCCGACCUGAGAGGGUGAUCGGCCACACUGGAACUGAGACACGGUCCAGACUCCUACGGGAGGCAGCAGUAGGGAAUCUUCCGCAAUGGGCGAAAGCCUGACGGAGCAACGCCGCGUGAGUGAUGAAGGUCUUAGGAUCGUAAAACUCUGUUGUUAGGGAAGAACAAAUUUGUUAGUAACUGAACAAGUCUUGACGGUACCUAACCAGAAAGCCACGGCUAACUACGUGCCAGCAGCCGCGGUAAUACGUAGGUGGCAAGCGUUAUCCGGAAAUUAUUGGGCGUAAAGCGCGCGUAGGCGGUUUCUUAAGUCUGAUGUGAAAGUCCACGGCUCAACCGUGGAAGGUCAUUGGAAACUGGGGAACUUGAGUGCAGAAGAGGAGAGUGGAAUUUCCAUGUGUAGCGGUGAAAUGCGCAGAGAUAUGGAGGAACACCAGUGGCGAAAGCGGCUCUCUGGUCUGUAACUGACGCUGAUGUGCGAAAGCGUGGGGAUCAAACAGGAUUAGAUACCCUGGUAGUCCACGCCGUAAACGAUGAGUGCUAAGUGUUAGGGGGUUUCCGCCCCUUAGUGCUGCAGCUAACGCAUUAAGCACUCCGCCUGGGGAGUACGACCGCAAGGUUGAAACUCAAAGGAAUUGACGGGGACCCGCACAAGCGGUGGAGCAUGUGGUUUAAUUCGAAGCAACGCGAAGAACCUUACCAAAUCUUGACAUCCUUUGAUCGCUCUAGAGAUAGAGUUUUCCCCUUCGGGGGACAAAGUGACAGGUGGUGCAUGGUUGUCGUCAGCUCGUGUCGUGAGAUGUUGGGUUAAGUCCCGCAACGAGCGCAACCCUUAAGCUUAGUUGCCAUCAUUAAGUUGGGCACUCUAGGUUGACUGCCGGUGACAAACCGGAGGAAGGUGGGGAUGACGUCAAAUCAUCAUGCCCCUUAUGAUUUGGGCUACACACGUGCUACAAUGGAUAAUACAAAGGGCAGCAAAACCGCGAGGUCAAGCAAAUCCCAUAAAAUUAUUCUCAGUUCGGAUUGUAGUCUGCAACUCGACUACAUGAAGCUGGAAUCGCUAGUAAUCGUAGAUCAGCAUGCUACGGUGAAUACGUUCCCGGGUCUUGUACACACCGCCCGUCACACCACGAGAGUUUGUAACACCCGAAGCCGGGUGGAGUAACCUUUUAUUAGGAGCUAGCCGUCGAAG
RNAcentral lists this ribosomal RNA (1434 nucleotides) under Mammaliicoccus vitulinus. Its description in RNAcentral is "bacterial SSU rRNA". It matches the Rfam family "Bacterial small subunit ribosomal RNA". Lineage: Bacteria; Bacillati; Bacillota; Bacilli; Caryophanales; Staphylococcaceae. The record is from RNAcentral.